This 838-nucleotide ribosomal RNA is filed under the name Brachypodius melanocephalos (black-headed bulbul). RNAcentral's name for it is "partial 12S ribosomal RNA". It matches the Rfam family "Bacterial small subunit ribosomal RNA", at positions 98 to 1415 of the family's 1533-position model. The record is from RNAcentral. Lineage: Eukaryota; Metazoa; Chordata; Aves; Passeriformes; Pycnonotidae.
GCAAGUAUCCGCGCGCCAGUGAAGUAAGCCCUAGGUACCCUGAUUUCAGGUCGAUAGGAGCGGGUAUCAGGCACACCAACAUGUAGCCCAAAACGCCUUGCAAUUGCCACGCCCCCACGGGUUCUCAGCAGUAGUUAAUAUUAAGCCAUGAGCGAAAACUUGACUUAGUCAUAGCAACUUAGGGUCGGUAAAUCCUGUGCCAGCCACCGCGGUCAUACAGGAGACCCAAAUUAACAUUAUAACGGCGUAAAGUGUGGUACCAUGCUAUCCAAGUAACUAAGAUUAAAAAGCAACUGAGCUGUCAUAAGCCCAAGAUGCUCAUAAGGCCACUACCCGAAGAAAAUCUUAGACAAACGAUUGAUUGAAACCCACGAAAGCCAGGGCCCAAACUGGGAUUAGAUACCCCACUAUGCCUGGCCCUAAAUCUUGAUGCUCGAUCUUACCGGAGCAUCCGCCCGAGAACUACGAGCACAAACGCUUAAAACUCUAAGGACUUGGCGGUGUCUCAAACCCACCUAGAGGAGCCUGUUCUAUAAUCGAUGAUCCACGAUAUACCUUACCAUUCCUUGCCAGUAUCAGCCUAUAUACCGCCGUCGCCAGCCCACCCAACCUGAAGGACCAACAGUGGACGCAAUAGCCCUAUACGCUAGUAAGACAGGUCAAGGUAUAGCCUAUGGAAUGGGAGCAAUGGGCUACAUUUUCUAAGAUAGAACAUUACGGCAAAGGGAUAUGAAACUGUCCCUGGAAGGAGGAUUUAGCAGUUAAGAGAGACAAUCGAGCCCUCUUUAAGCCGGCUCUGGGACACGUACAUACCGCCCGUCACCCUCCUCAAAAGCGA